GGAGAUAUGCCUGAACUAAAGGGCUACUUUGAUAGAGUAAAAAAUAGGGAUUUAGCCCCCUUAUCUCCU
RNAcentral lists this transfer RNA (69 nucleotides) under Heloderma suspectum (Gila monster). RNAcentral's name for it is "tRNA-Ile". The record is from RNAcentral. Lineage: Eukaryota; Metazoa; Chordata; Lepidosauria; Squamata; Helodermatidae.